CUACGGGUUGCUCCAGUCGAGAAUCUUCCGCAAUGGACGAAAGUCUGACGGAGCGACGCCGCGUGCGGGAUGAAGGCCUUCGGGUUGUAAACCGCUGUCAGUGGGGAGGAAAUGCAUCAGGGUUCUCCCUGGUGUUUGACCGAUCCGCAGAGGAAGCGCAGGCUAAGUUCGUGCCAGCAGCCGCGGUAACACGAACUGCGCGAACGUUAUUCGGAAUCACUGGGCUUAAAGAGUUCGUAGGCGGCCUUUCAAGUCGGGUGUGAAAUCCCUCGGCUCAACCGAGGAAUUGCGCCUGAUGACUGUUGGGCUUGAGGGGGAUAGGGGUGAGCGGAACUGAUGGUGGAGCGGUGAAAUGCGUUGAUAUCAUCAGGAACACCGGUGGCGAAGGCGGCUCACUGGAUCUCUUCUGACGCUGAGGAACGAAAGCUAGGGGAGCGAACGGGAUUAGAUACCCGAGUAGUC
Molecule: ribosomal RNA, 462 nt
Filed under: uncultured bacterium
Lineage: Bacteria
Description: partial 16S ribosomal RNA
Rfam family: Bacterial small subunit ribosomal RNA
Source: RNAcentral